GCCAUCACUGUUUGGCCCUUGUCAAAGUUGCUCAAAUCUUUUUGCUUGCCACGUUUUCCUGCUUCCAACACAUGAAAUUCAAGAAUUGACUGUUCACUUGGUGCCAUGGUCAUUGUAACAAUAUAAUCAAUGUUAUUAACUUCACAUGUCUGGUUUUAAUGUUAUGGCUGAUCAGUGUACAGUACAUUGUAGGGAUUUGUAAGGACC
Molecule: non-coding RNA, 207 nt
Organism: Pelobates cultripes (western spadefoot toad)
Lineage: Eukaryota; Metazoa; Chordata; Amphibia; Anura; Pelobatidae
Source: the annotation of a GenBank genome assembly